GACCUCAAAUCAGGUAGGACUACCCGCUGAACUUAAGCAUAUCAAUAAGCGGAGGAAAAGAAACUAACAAGGAUUCCCCUAGUAACUGCGAGUGAAGCGGGAAAAGCUCAAAUUUAAAAUCUGGUAGUCUAUGGCUGCCCGAGUUGUAAUCUAGAGAAGUGUUAUCCGCGUUGGACCGUGUACAAGUCUCCUGGAAUGGAGCGUCAUAGAGGGUGAGAAUCCCGUCUUUGACACGGACUACCAGUGCUUUGUGAUGCGCUCUCAAAGAGUCGAGUUGUUUGGGAAUGCAGCUCAAAAUGGGUGGUAAAUUCCAUCUAAAGCUAAAUAUUGGCGAGAGACCGAUUGCGAACAAGUACCGUGAGGGAAAGAUGAAAAGAACUUUGGAAAGAGAGUUAAACAGUACGUGAAAUUGCUGAAAGGGAAACGCUUGAAGUCAGUCGCGUUGUUUGGGGAUCAACCUUGCUUUUGCUGGGUGUACUUUCCAGAUGACGGGUCAGCAUCAAUUUUGACCGUUGGAUAAAGUGUAGAGAAAUGUGGCAUCUUCGGAUGUGUUAUAGUCUUUGCUCGCAUACAACGGUUGGGAUUGAGGAACUCAGUACGCCGCAAGGCCGGGAAUUUAUUCUACGUUCGUACUUAGGAUGCUGGCAUAAUGGCUUUAAUCGACCCGUCUUGAAACACGGACCAAGGAGUCUAACAUGCCUGCGAGUGUUUGGGUGGAAAACCCGAGCGCGUAAUGAAAGUGAAAGUUGAGAUCCCUGUCGUGGGGAGCAUCGACGCCCGGACCAGACCUUUUGUGACGGAUCUGCGGUAGAGCAUGUAUGUUGGGACCCGAAAGAUGGUGAACUAUGCCUGAAUAGGGUGAAGCCAGAGGAAACUCUGGUGGAGGCUCGUAGCGAUUCUGACGUGCAAAUCGAUCGUCAAAUUUGGGUAUAGGGGCGAAAGACUAAUCGAACCAUCUAGUAGCUGGUUCCU
This 972-nucleotide ribosomal RNA is filed under the name Psilocybe aff. apelliculosa CBS 101811. Its description in RNAcentral is "LSU rRNA". It matches the Rfam family "Eukaryotic large subunit ribosomal RNA", at positions 1 to 959 of the family's 3401-position model. The record is from RNAcentral. Lineage: Eukaryota; Fungi; Basidiomycota; Agaricomycetes; Agaricales; Agrocybaceae.